Molecule: transfer RNA, 70 nt
Filed under: Hordeum vulgare
Lineage: Eukaryota; Viridiplantae; Streptophyta; Magnoliopsida; Poales; Poaceae
Description: tRNA-OTHER
Source: RNAcentral
CCGUCCUAGCCGAGUGGUGCAAGCGUCGUGCCUCCACCACGGGGAUCUUGGGUUCGAUCCCCAGAGCGCA